Molecule: unclassified non-coding RNA, 353 nt
Filed under: soil metagenome
Description: partial contains 5.8S ribosomal RNA, internal transcribed spacer 2, and large subunit ribosomal RNA
Rfam family: 5.8S ribosomal RNA (bases 1-120)
Source: RNAcentral
GAUGAAGAACGCAGCGAAAUGCGAAAAGUAAUGUGAAUUGCAGAAUUCAGUGAAUCAUCGAAUCUUUGAACGCACAUUGCGCCCGCUGGUACUCCGGCGGGCACGCCUGUCCGAGCGUCAUUUCAACCCUCAAGCCCUCCUUCGGGAUGGGCCUGGUGUUGGGGCUCGGCCGCCAUCUCCGGCGGCCGUCCCCUAAAUACAGUGGCGGUCACGUCGCGACUCCUUUGCGUAGUAGAAACACCUCGCUCCGGAUAGCAACGCGGUCCACGCCGUAAAAUCCCCAAUUUUCUAAUGGUUGACCUCGGAUCAGGUAGGAAUACCCGCUGAACUUAAGCAUAUCAAUAAGCGGAGGA